UUUGAUCCUGGCUCAGGACGAACGCUGGCGGCGUGCCUAAUACAUGCAAGUCGAGCGAAUCUGAGGAGCUUGCUCCCAAAGAUUAGCGGCGGACGGGUGAGUAACACGUGGGUAACCUGCCUGUAAGAUUGGGAUAACUCCGGGAAACCGGAGCUAAUACCGGAUAAUAAUUUGAACCGCAUGGUUCAAAUUUGAAAGAUGGCUUCUCGCUAUCACUUACAGAUGGACCCGCGGCGCAUUAGCUAGUUGGUGAGGUAACGGCUCACCAAGGCAACGAUGCGUAGCCGACCUGAGAGGGUGAUCGGCCACACUGGGACUGAGACACGGCCCAGACUCCUACGGGAGGCAGCAGUAGGGAAUCUUCCGCAAUGGACGAAAGUCUGACGGGGCAACGCCGCGUGAACGAUGAAGGCCUUCGGGUCGUAAAGUUCUGUUGUUAGGGAAGAACAAGUGCUAGAGUAACUGCUAGCACCUUGACGGUACCUAACCAGAAAGCCACGGCUAACUACGUG
Molecule: ribosomal RNA, 512 nt
Filed under: uncultured Bacillus sp.
Lineage: Bacteria; Bacillati; Bacillota; Bacilli; Caryophanales; Bacillaceae
Description: bacterial SSU rRNA
Rfam family: Bacterial small subunit ribosomal RNA
Source: RNAcentral